GCCCACUAGGAGGCGCCGAAGAGACCGCUUGCGCGGGUUCCGCCCGGGGAGCCGCCGCUCUGGGCCGCAGCCCGGGCCCUGACUGCAUUUCCGCCGGCGCCCAAGCGAUGAAGGGCGGGUCCUGCAUCCGAGGCAUCCCCGAUCCAUCCAGCAUCUUCUCGCGCAGUCUUCUUCGACCCGCUGCCACAGUCCCGGCGCCCCAGGCCCUGCGCAGAUGAAGACCCUCCCUCGGACGGCUUUGCGGGCCCUGCCUCAGCCGGCGCCCCCUUCUCUCCUGCAGGACCCGGACCCGCGCUGCAGGGGCUGAGUGCCCCCUGGGUUGGCGUCUGAGUCUUGCCUCCCCGUAGGCUCAGUACCUGGCACGUGUCCAAGGCUCAGCAGCUGUACCACAACCACCCAACAGGAGAGAAGGAAAGGAGAGGUGCACCCCGGGGAUGUGAGGAGGCAGCACCGGGCAGAGGGGCCCUUGAGAGAUGUCACCAUCCUGUUAAGAAAGGGCUGGACCACAGCACUGCAGAGGCCUCUCCUGUCUGGGCCACGGGGAAGGCUUUGUGCAGGACUGGAAGCAGUUGCUGGGUCCUUGGGCUCCACUGGGCUCACUACUCCCAGGCCUUUUCCAUGGGCCUCCUUUUCCAGCAAGCCCCCGUCUUUCCCUGCCC
This 659-nucleotide long non-coding RNA is filed under the name Sus scrofa (pig). Its description in RNAcentral is "lncRNA (ENSSSCG00040042541.1)". Lineage: Eukaryota; Metazoa; Chordata; Mammalia; Artiodactyla; Suidae. The record is from RNAcentral.